UACGUAGGGUGCGAGCGUUAAUCGGAAUUACUGGGCGUAAAGCGUGCGCAGGCGGUUUUGUAAGACCGAUGUGAAAUCCCCGGGCUUAACCUGGGAACUGCAUUGGUGACUGCAAGGCUUGAGUGUGUCAGAGGGAGGUGGAAUUCCGCGUGUAGCAGUGAAAUGCGUAGAUAUGCGGAGGAACACCGAUGGCGAAGGCAGCCUCCUGGGCCAAUACUGACGCUCAUGCACGAAAGCGUGGGGAGCAAACAGG
This 253-nucleotide ribosomal RNA is filed under the name uncultured bacterium. Its description in RNAcentral is "partial 16S ribosomal RNA". It matches the Rfam family "Bacterial small subunit ribosomal RNA", at positions 524 to 776 of the family's 1533-position model. The record is from RNAcentral.